GANUUCAACGGCCGNCGGUACUCUGACCGUGCAAAGGUAGCACAAUCACUUGUUCUUUAAAUGAGGACUAGAAUCAAUGGCAUCACGAGGGUCCCACUGUCUCCUUUUUCUAAUCAGUGAAAUUGAUCUCCUCGUGAAGAAGCGAGGAUAACUUUAUAAGACGAGAAGACCCCAUGGAGCUUAAANACUCAAUAAAUAANCCCUANCAACAUCNNNNNAAAUAUUUUAAGGGGCCNNNUANNUCCAUUAGUUUUCGGUUGGGGUGACCACGGAGAACAGCCUAACCUCCGUAAUGAAAAGANAUAANAAUCAUAAUCUAAGAGCUACACCUCUAAGAAUUAAUAAAUUAACUUAUAGUGAUCCNAAUACUUUNNAUUGAUCAAUGAACCAAGUUACCCUGGGGAUAACAGCGCUAUCCACUUCUAGAGUCCAUAUCGCCAAGUGGGUUUACGACCUCGAUGUUGGAUCAGGGUGUCCCAGUGGUGCAGCC
RNAcentral lists this ribosomal RNA (490 nucleotides) under Ptychadena cooperi (dark-bellied grass frog). RNAcentral's name for it is "partial 16S ribosomal RNA". It matches the Rfam family "Bacterial large subunit ribosomal RNA", at positions 1920 to 2560 of the family's 2925-position model. The record is from RNAcentral. Lineage: Eukaryota; Metazoa; Chordata; Amphibia; Anura; Ptychadenidae.